ACUUAUUCACCAUCCCAUUACCAUUACAUGAUCUCUCUCCUCCUACCUACCUAUUUCAUCAUCUUAUUUGCAUUUGUUUUCCUUUGAUUCUUGGAAAAAUCGAUCCGAAGUGGGGUUUUUACAGCAAUUAAUUUAAUUAGCAGUUCAUUGUUUACCCAUUUUCAUGUUAACUAGUUUUAGGCUUUUAGGGCCCUCUGAUCAGAAGCAGUUGAACUGAAAUUUUUUGAUACGUUUUAUUGAGCCUAGCUAAACAAACCCAUUUCUCCAUGCUUCCUCUUUUGUCCCCUGUUCAACACUCUGUAGUAGUCUAUCUAUAUGUGCAAACACUCUCACUCUCUUUCUUUCU
RNAcentral lists this long non-coding RNA (346 nucleotides) under Panax ginseng (ginseng). RNAcentral's name for it is "long non-coding RNA (PGIN_LNC003662)". The record is from RNAcentral. Lineage: Eukaryota; Viridiplantae; Streptophyta; Magnoliopsida; Apiales; Araliaceae.